CCCUUCCCCUAUUCAUUCUCUUAAUCUCUUUCCCUUUCUUUUUUUUAUUUUCACUCUCUCUCCUCAUAUGUCGCUCCUCCUCUCUCUCUCCUUUACCAAACCCUGAAGCUCCAUUGAAGCUCCGUCCACAAGAUUAGAUCUGCAAGCUCCAUUGAAGCUCCGUCGAUCUGCAAGCUCCAUUGAAGCUCCGUCUCUUCUUCUCCCUCGAACUCCCUUCUCUCUCCAUUGAAGCGUAGAACCAAGCACAAUGGCGGUGGUCGGUGGUCGGUGGUCAGUGGUCAGUGGUCAGUAUAACCAAGCACAAUGACGGUGGUCGGUGAUGGUGACGGUCGAGUCUGAUUUCUAGGGUUCAGAUUGGUGUUCGUGUCCUACAGGAUCUCCUUGCAUCCAAGAUAACAGUCUUUGAUCCUGCACAGAAAUAGCUUCACUGACGGCAUGAUAAAAGGCCGCGAUAGCACUUUGCUCUUUGCCUGUGGCUUCCAGGUUCAGCCUUCAACUAUAGGCAACGCAGAAACAUGUUUGCUUCUCAUGGCCUCUCUGAAGUUGACUUGAUUGCUUUAUCAGGUUCACUCUGCUCCUUACAAUCAUCAUAAUUUUACAUCACUGUCUUACAAAGUUGUAGAUGUAAAUAUUAUUCCCCUUAUUUCUUAUGGAAACUAAUUAGCUUUAUCAAGUACAACUCUAUAAAUUAUAAGACUUCAUUAAAAAGUUACAGUAAUUUCAUUUCAUUCCUCUUAUUAUUUUAUACUUCUAUAGUAGCUGACAUGUUUAUACAGUUACUAAUGUUACAGUUCAAAAUCAUGUAAUACUUAUUCUUUUUAGUAAUGUUGUUUUAUUCUAUAGGUAUUAAACCACUUAUACUAUGUGUCAUUUGGUGAUUUAUCUUUGAGUUUUGUUUAUAUUUUAAAACCAUCUGUCAUAGAUGUAUCAAAUCUGUUGGUUUAGGUUGAGUUUAGUUCUAAUUAGUACAGUUUGGAUAUAUUCAGUUGGUUACGAGUAAUUUGAUUUACUUGUAGGUAUGUUGGGUUAUACCGUCAAUUAGUUUGAUAUAAUGAACAAAUGAAUGUUCUAUUCGUGUUAGUGUAUUCUGUUUGGAUCAAAUCAAGUCAUGUAAUUUCUGGAACAAAUUGGAUUUAGGUCGGGUAACUAGGAUUUUUUCCUCCACCCCCUCGCCCUCCCCACUCCGAUCUUCAUGAUCAUUGUCAUAUUGUCCCCAUUCCAUCUUCUCUUAUGGAGUCUAAUGUAAAUUGGCUUAUGUUUUUUUUUCCCUAAUGUUAUAAAGGAACACAUACAAUGGGGUUCUCACAGUGCAGCCAGUUCUCCAAGAGAAUGUACAACUACAAUAGUCAAAACAGCAUUGAUCCUACACUUAAUCAAGGAUAUGCAAAGCAACUCCAGAAAGCUUGCCCAAGAGAUGCUUAUCCGGGAACCUUCUAUAAGGGAAAGGUCUUCUUAAGAAAUAAGGGGAAAUUACUAAUUUAGGCAGGAUUGUAGCCAUUUGUAGGGUGAUAAAUAGUUAGUAUUAGUGAAUUAUCUGGAGAAAAAAAAUUGACAAAUAUGGUUUAUCAUAAUCUACUACAUUUGUUUGGUUAAUUUGUCAAUUUCUUUUGCAUCCUCAAGGUUUCUAGAGAUUGAUUCUGGAGCAUGGUCUGGGAUUGAAGAGACUGCCAGCGCUUCACAUUCUACUCAUCAUGUUGGAGCGGAUGAGGAAUUUUAUCAGUUCUUUUGCAACACCAAACAACUUCAAUCUAGCAUUUGUUGAGGCUGUUCGGGUGAUUGUGGACCGACACACAAGUCUUGAAAAAGGGAUACCUUAUGUCUUGUUCAAAACAAGGGUAUGCCUUAUUCUCUGUCUGUGCAACCACUGCAGCGGCUGCUGCAGCUGCUGCCACGCAAGGCGGCUGCCUUACAUCACAAGGCUGAUGCUGCAUGCUUCCAUGCUCCUGCUGAUGUUCUGGUCUACGCUGAUGCUGCUACUACGCUCUACGCCACUGCUGCUAAUCUGCUCUACGCUACUGUUGUAAUAUUAUUACAAUCAGUCUGUUUACAAUGUAAAACUAUGUUUUGUUUUUUUUUUUUUUUUUUGAAUUAAAAUUGUAAUGUUACAGCUUUAUUUUUCAAUGAAGUUAUAAGUUAUAUAUAUGUAUGUGUUUAUA
Molecule: long non-coding RNA, 2156 nt
Organism: Chenopodium quinoa (quinoa)
Lineage: Eukaryota; Viridiplantae; Streptophyta; Magnoliopsida; Caryophyllales; Amaranthaceae
Exons: 3
Source: RefSeq, a predicted model, not a curated record